Non-coding RNA from Vicia faba (fava bean), 189 nucleotides. NCBI's taxonomy places the organism in Eukaryota, Viridiplantae, Streptophyta, Magnoliopsida, Fabales, Fabaceae. The record is from the annotation of a GenBank genome assembly.
AUGAGAAACAAGCUUAGAACUAAGCCUUAUUCACCUAAAUUGAAAACCGGGCAACAACUACACAUAUAUCAUUAUACCCCAAAAUUUCAUCUCAACAUGUUUGAUAAGUCGACACCACAAACAAGCUUCAUUCAAUUUUAUUUCCCACAAUGCGGUAUCGGCACCGAAAAUUCACAAACAACACCAUGA